Hydra vulgaris (swiftwater hydra) is the source of this 765-nucleotide non-coding RNA. The record is from RefSeq and is a predicted model, not a curated record. Lineage: Eukaryota; Metazoa; Cnidaria; Hydrozoa; Anthoathecata; Hydridae.
UAUAAUGUUAUUAAUAAUUAACAAAUUUUUAUAUAUUGUUUGUUUACUUUUCAAAAAAUUUAAUAAAACCUAUGGUAUAUUAACUCUUUGCGUGUGUAUAUAUAUAUAUAUAUAUAUAUAUAUAUAUAUAUAUAUUUUUUUUUUUCUUAAGAAUAAUUGGUACAAAAAAAAGUGAAGCUAUGUUUGCGGAUGAAGUGAAAAAAGAUUGAUCUUACAUAUAGUGCCUAUAGAAGGCUCUGGCUUACCUUCACGUGGUGUCUAUUGUUAAAAAUGAUUUACUUAGUUUCAUUGAAAUUUUAAAUAAUAUCAUUUACUAAAAGCCAAGGCAUAAAUUUAUAUAUUUUGUAUUUUAAAACUUUUUAAAAUAUAAGUUUUAAAACUUUGGUUAAUUUUUAGGGUGGAUACUCAAACUUGCAUCUUGUAAUGUGGUUGGAGAAGACUGAGAGGAAGGGGGAGGGGCGCUAAGGGUGGUAUCGUCCCGCCCCUAAUUUCAAUUUAUGCACCACUUGUAUAUGCUGUUAUGUAAAAAAAUAUAAUUUAAACUUUUUAACAUAAAAUAAUGUGUUAAAAAGUUGUUUUUCAGGUUCAAAUAUUUAUAAGAUAGUAACAUUUCACUACGAGGGUGUUAAAACGUAACAAGAGCAUCCACCCUUUAAUCUAAAAUAUACCACUAAUAUUUGGAAAUGUAAUGGAAGCAAAUUAGAACAACUUUUUGUGUAUUAAGAUAACAAAUUUUAUCAGAAAAAUACACUUUCGUGUGAAAAA